CCCAGGAGAGUUUUACAGCAUUCCAGGCAGGACGGAGGCCAGGGUGGGGGAAAUGCAGGAAUAAGAACUGGGAAUGGAAGAGCCCUACCAGGAAGCUGUUCUUGAAGAGAAACAAUGGGGAGAAGUCCCGAGUCCUGGCAACCCUGCCACACAGACCCCAACUGAGACAGAAGGCCACCUUAGCAUCAGCAGUCUUUGAAUGAAAAUGUCAGGACAAUAAGAGCACUGCACUGAAGAGCCUAGAAUUCUUCUCUUUUUUUCCAUUUCUUCUUGACACCGUCCUCCUCCACCAAAAGACAUCAAAAUUUCCAAAUACCUCCACUGGACACUGCGAUUAACAUAUGGCCCUGGCAGACAUAGAUCCUCUCUUGAAUUUUCACUGACAAAACUGCUUCCAGCUGCCUCUUGGAAGAGACACCCCACAAUAAAACACAGUGUUCGCUGAGAAUUCCAGCUGCCACCCAGGGGCCUGAUGGACUCAAUGAAUGGCAUUUAGCAAAGCUACUGCUGAAACGGUGACAAAUGGUAUGUUGACUUUUUUCCUGUGUCUGUGGUAUUAGGACCAGUUGAUCUCAGCA
RNAcentral lists this long non-coding RNA (578 nucleotides) under Fukomys damarensis (Damara mole-rat). Its description in RNAcentral is "lncRNA (ENSFDAG00000029645.1)". Lineage: Eukaryota; Metazoa; Chordata; Mammalia; Rodentia; Bathyergidae. The record is from RNAcentral.